GAAAUCAACUUUAGCUCAGUUGGCAGAGAUCGAGACUCUGGAUCUCUGGGGUUGCGGGUUCGAUCCCCACGUUGGACA
Non-coding RNA from Podarcis lilfordi (Lilford's wall lizard), 78 nucleotides. Lineage: Eukaryota; Metazoa; Chordata; Lepidosauria; Squamata; Lacertidae. The record is from the annotation of a GenBank genome assembly.